This 117-nucleotide ribosomal RNA is filed under the name candidate division WS1 bacterium. The record is from RNAcentral. Lineage: Bacteria; Bacillati.
CCCGGUGGCUAUAGCGGAGGGGUCCCACCCGUUCCCAUUCCGAACACGGCAGUUAAGCCCUCCAGCGCCGAUGGUACUGCAGGGGCGACCCUGUGGGAGAGUAGGUCGUCGCCGGGG